This 422-nucleotide ribosomal RNA is filed under the name uncultured archaeon. RNAcentral's name for it is "partial 16S ribosomal RNA". It matches the Rfam family "Archaeal small subunit ribosomal RNA", at positions 323 to 746 of the family's 1478-position model. The record is from RNAcentral.
CUACGGGCCGCAGCAGGCGAGAAAACUUUGCAAUGUGCGAAAGCACGACAAGGUUAAUCCGAGUGGUUUCUGCUAAAGGAACCUUUUGUCGGUCCUAGAAACACCGAUGAAUAAGGGGUGGGCAAGUUCUGGUGUCAGCCGCCGCGGUAAAACCAGCACCUCAAGUGGUCAGGAUGAUUAUUGGGCCUAAAGCAUCCGUAGCCGGCUCUGUAAGUUUUCGGUUAAAUCUGUACGCUUAACGUACAGGCUGCCGGGAAUACUGCAUAGCUAGGGAGUGGGAGAGGUAGACGGUACUCGGUAGGAAGGGGUAAAAUCCUUUGAUCUAUUGAUGACCACCUGUGGCGAAGGCGAUCUACCAGAACACGUCCGACGGUGAGGGAUGAAAGCUGGGGGAGCAAACCGGAUUAGAUACCCGGGUAGUC